GAGCAAGUAGCAGACAGCAUCUCAUGUGGUCCAGGCUGGUGUGGCACUCACUAUGUAGUCCAGGCUGGCUUCAAACUUAUGAUUCUCUUGCCACAGCCUCCUGAGUGCCGAACUCAUAUUCAUUACUAUCCCUAUCUUUCUAGGUGAUUUUGAAUAAGUGGAUUAGUGCCUUUCUGUCACUUCUUUGGGCACGAUGUAAACUGUCCCAGCCUAGAUGUGAGCAGAAGCUGGUGACUAGGACUGGGGUAGAUUAGCUGGGCAGGGGACCUCAGAGACCCCUUUCUACCUAAAAGGUCUCUACUGCAAGCGAGAGACCCCAAAGCAUACCCUGAUGCUAGGUGGGGCUCAGGCGAGACUAGAAGCAUCUGGCUGUCUAGGCAUCCCCCUAGCAGGGCUACAACCCAGUAGCUAUCCAUGGUGACCUGACAGAUAAUGCCCCAUGAUAGACUGGCUUUCUCUGCCUUACUCCAGUGUCCUAUGGAGCAUUCUGUGUUCUCACAGUCUACACUUGUGUCUUUGCUCAAUGUUUGAUUCCAGGUACACACUGGCAGAGGAAGUGGGCCCAGAUUCUUGCCCAGAUAGUGGGUGGAUGACAGUUUUGACUCGAGAGAUAUUUUAGUCUGAAUUCUUCAACCUUUCCAACUCUUCUCUUUCCUUAGCCUUGGAGGUAAUGAGAAAGGAGUCAACCCUCUAGAGCACUGGCUCUCAACCUUUCUGAUGCCGAGACCCUUUAAUACAGUUCCUUAUAUUGUGGUGACCCCCCCCCCACCAUAACAUUAUCAUUUUUCUACUUCAUAACUCUAAUUCUGCUACUGUCAUAAACCAUAAUGUAAAUAUGUGUUUUCCUAUGGUCUUGGCAACCCUGUUAAAGGGCCACGUGGCUCCCCACAGGCUGAGAACCAUUGCCCUAGACCAACCUGAUGCAAAGUGUUGUCAAAGAGACUCACUUCUGACCUUUAAGAUGAGAGCAGAAGACCCUGGAGAGACUUCCCCUCACAUAUACUUGCCACUUGCUAGGAGAGAUUUUGUCCUUUGUCCUCUUCACUCCCCCUCCCCUUUUUCCUUUCCUUUCCUUUCCUUUCCUUUCCUUUCCUUUCCUUUCCUUUCCUUUCCUUUCCUUUCCUUUCCUUUCCUUUCCUUUCCUUUCCUUCCUUCCUUCCUUCCUUCUCUCUCUCUCUCUCUCUCUUUCUUUCUUUCUUUCUUUCUUUGCUUGAAGCACAAUCUCUUAGCUGGAUGUGCAGCAGCCAUCUUGAGAUCAUGAGGAGCAAACACCACAUGCUGAAGACAGCAAAGUGUCAAGCCAGAGAAAUGGAGAUCUGAGGUGGCAUUGCUCAGCCCUGCUUCAACCCUCUGCCACGUGGCUCCUAGAGAAAACUUAACCUCUGACUUUUCAACACUGUGGUCCGGUUUCUGUCAUCCUCACAGUCACACACUGCCCCCUAGCUCUGGCCAUUGGAAUGUUGUCCAGGUGUCACCAGAUUUUCUGUUUCCAAAAGAGUUUGGGAGCACAGGAAACUGAAGUACAAUGGAGUGAGAGCAGCCACCUCCUCAUCUCUUCCAGUUGUCCUUCCUCUUCCCCAUCCAUCAACACCAGCUACUAGCCUGCCUGUUAUCCCCUCAUCUUUCACCUCGGCACACAAUUUUGCUUACUGUGCAUACCUGGCCUUCCCGCCUGGAGGUUUUUUUCGACUGGCAUUGUCAGUGCGUUGGAAUUGCCUGAGAGUCUGUGACUCUGGAAAUGGACCACAGGCAAAGACAUGGAACCUAGAGGAUAAAUACCCAGCUGCCUGCUGUCAGAGAGUGAGCUCUAUGGGGAGCUUUAUACACCUGGCUGUCUAGGCAUCCCCCUAGCAGGGCUGCAACCCAGUAGCUAUCAAUGGUGAUCUGGCAGAUAAUGCCCCAUGGUCGACUGGCUUUCCCUGCCUUACUCCACUGUCCUGUGGAGCAUUCUGUGUUCACACAAUCUACACUUGUGUCUUUGCUCAAUGGUUGAUUCUAGAGGAACUCAAAUUAAGAAAUAUAGAUGUUAUAUCUCCAUGUCUGUCCUCUCCCACAUAUCUACGUUUAUCAUCUGUGUCCCUAUGCAUCAUCUACUUAUUUUAGUCAUAUGUCUCUGCUUAUUUCUCUAUAUUGUGCAUACUUAUGGAUGGAUGUCAUAUAUAAAUGUAUAUCCAUGUAGGUAUAUAUCUAGGCUGUCUAUGUACAUAUGUAUAUAUGUAAGUAAACAUGUGUACAUAUCCAUGAAUUUUACAUAAAAUUAUAAUAUUCUGUAUUUUUCUUUUUCCUCUAUGUAUCUUCAUGUGCUGUAAAACCAGUUGUAUUUUAUGUCAAUAUUGUAUUUCUUUGUAUAGGAAUAUGGACAUAAAUAGUGACACUUUUCAGUUUUCCUUGUUUGUCAGUGUUGGAGAGGUAGCCCCACCCCCACCCCCACAGAGUAUCAUUCCUGUAAAUGUGGUGGACAACCAACGUUUUCAGCUCCCCAAAGGUGAAGUUUUCAUGUGAGACCCAACAGUGAGAUGUUGGUGGGGGGCAUUUCCUUUGCUCAAAUCUCCUGCAGUUUAAUUAUAGGUAUAUGUUCUGAGAGCAUGCCAUGUGUCUGACAAAGAGCUACAUAUUUCCUUAUAUUCCUUAUCCCUCCCACACUAUAGUUUUAUAAUGAAGAUAAUUGUGAUGGUUUGGAUGAUAAUGGCCCCCAUAGGCUCAUAUAUUUGAAUACCUGGUUCACAGUUGAUAGAACUGUUUUAGAAGGAGUAGGAGGUGUGGCCUUAUUGGAGAAUGUGUGCCACCCAGUUGGCUCUCUCUGAGAUGAGUUCCAGGAUAGCUACAUAAGUGAGAUUCUGUCUGGGAAAAAAACUACCACCAACAACAAAAUCAAAACCAAAACUC
This 2886-nucleotide long non-coding RNA is filed under the name Mus musculus (house mouse). Its description in RNAcentral is "long non-coding RNA chr5:52239335-52242221". The record is from RNAcentral. Lineage: Eukaryota; Metazoa; Chordata; Mammalia; Rodentia; Muridae.